Molecule: unclassified non-coding RNA, 311 nt
Filed under: plant metagenome
Description: partial contains 5.8S ribosomal RNA, internal transcribed spacer 2, and large subunit ribosomal RNA
Rfam family: 5.8S ribosomal RNA (bases 1-104)
Source: RNAcentral
AAAUGCGAUAAGUAAUGUGAAUUGCAUAAUUCCGUGAAUCAUCGAAUCUUUGAACGCACAUUGCGCCCUCUGGCAUUCCGGGGGGCAUGCCUGUCCGAGCGUCAUUACGCACCCUCAAGCCCGGCUUGUGUGAUGGGCCCCGGCGUCUCGUUCGCGAGACGGGCCCGAAAGGCAGCGGCGGCGUCGACCCGAUGAGCCCGAGCGUAUGGGGACUUCUGUCACACGUUCGCGGUGCGGACCGGCGCCUGCUUGACUUUUCUGAUUAUCCAGGUUGACCUCGGAUCAGGUAGGGAUACCCGCUGAACUUAAGC